GCCGGUGUAGCUCAAUUGGCAGAGCAACUGACUUGUAAUCAGUAGGUUGAGGGUUCGAUUCCUUUCGCCGGCACCA
RNAcentral lists this transfer RNA (76 nucleotides) under Ureibacillus thermosphaericus. RNAcentral describes it as "tRNA-Thr". It matches the Rfam family "tRNA". Rfam says of the family: Transfer RNA (tRNA) molecules are approximately 80 nucleotides in length. Their secondary structure includes four short double-helical elements and three loops (D, anti-codon, and T loops). RNAcentral also lists the same sequence under 4 other names. The record is from RNAcentral. Lineage: Bacteria; Bacillati; Bacillota; Bacilli; Caryophanales; Caryophanaceae.